AUGAUAGAGGUGCAAGGUUCAAAAGUACCCAUCUGGAGGAUGAACAAUUCCUAGGAAAGAUGGUGAAAGGGAGACUUGCCGAAGCGGUAAAUCCAUUGUUCAGAUUUAUUUGCUGGUUUUGCAUUUAAAAAAUGUAAGACUGUCAGAAUCAGUCAGAGAUUCUGGAGGGCUAUCUC
This 176-nucleotide non-coding RNA is filed under the name uncultured Ureibacillus sp. Its description in RNAcentral is "Lysine riboswitch". It matches the Rfam family "Lysine riboswitch aptamer". From Rfam's summary of the family: Riboswitches are metabolite binding domains within certain messenger RNAs that serve as precision sensors for their corresponding targets. Lineage: Bacteria; Bacillati; Bacillota; Bacilli; Caryophanales; Caryophanaceae. The record is from RNAcentral.